AUGCACACAACCAUCUACCUAUUAAAACAAGAGACAAAUGACUCCCCCAUGAUCACCCCCACCCUCAAUGGCCGACGCGGCUCUCUCCAUAGGAGGGCAAACUCUGAGUUGGGGCUCCCGGAGUGCCAAGUGGCGCACCUCACGUCCCCCUGCUCGGAUCACUGCCCCAUCAUCCUACGAUGUGCGCGGGAGACUAGGGUGCAGACCGGAAAGACGCGUAGAUACGAAGUUAUGUGGGAAAGAGAACCGGCACUGACGGAGGUAGUUGAAGCGGCCUGGAAAGCAGCCGGUGCAGAGGGCCACCAGGGCAAUAUCAGCGCGGCCCUCCGGUCGACAUUGCUGGCGUUACACAAGGGGAGCAGCAAGAAGGUGGGUAACAUCACAAAGGAAAUUGAGAAAUCCAGAACAAGAUUGGAGGAGCUCACCAAUAUGAAUGCAGACCAUAAUGAGAUACAGAAGGAAUCUGAUCAUAUGAACGAACUGCUAUAUAAGGAGGAAAUGAUGUGGCUUCAACGAUCGUGA
Molecule: ribosomal RNA, 522 nt
Filed under: Triticum aestivum (bread wheat)
Lineage: Eukaryota; Viridiplantae; Streptophyta; Magnoliopsida; Poales; Poaceae
Description: partial small subunit ribosomal RNA
Source: RNAcentral